RNAcentral lists this ribosomal RNA (465 nucleotides) under Vreelandella stevensii. RNAcentral describes it as "partial 16S ribosomal RNA". It matches the Rfam family "Bacterial small subunit ribosomal RNA", at positions 338 to 795 of the family's 1533-position model. The record is from RNAcentral. Lineage: Bacteria; Pseudomonadati; Pseudomonadota; Gammaproteobacteria; Oceanospirillales; Halomonadaceae.
CCUACGGGAGGCUGCAGUGGGGAAUAUUGGACAAUGGGCGAAAGCCUGAUCCAGCCAUGCCGCGUGUGUGAAGAAGGCCUUCGGGUUGUAAAGCACUUUCAGUGGGGAAGAAAGCCUUGGGGCUAAUACCCUCGAGGAAGGACAUCACCCACAGAAGAAGCACCGGCUAACUCCGUGCCAGCAGCCGCGGUAAUACGGAGGGUGCGAGCGUUAAUCGGAAUUACUGGGCGUAAAGCGCGCGUAGGCGGUCUGAUAAGCUGGUUGUGAAAGCCCCGGGCUCAACCUGGGAACGGCAUCCGGAACUGUCAGGCUAGAGUGCAGGAGAGGAAGGUAGAAUUCCCGGUGUAGCGGUGAAAUGCGUAGAGAUCGGGAGGAAUACCAGUGGCGAAGGCGGCCUUCUGGACUGACACUGACGCUGAGGUGCGAAAGCGUGGGUAGCAAACAGGAUUAGAUACCCGUGUAGUC